Molecule: ribosomal RNA, 474 nt
Filed under: uncultured organism
Description: partial 16S ribosomal RNA
Rfam family: Bacterial small subunit ribosomal RNA
Source: RNAcentral
ACUCCUGCGGGAGGCAGCAGUGGGGAAUUUUGGACAAUGGGCGAAAGCCUGAUCCAGCAAUGCCGCGUGAGUGAAGAAGGCCUUCGGGUUGUAAAGCUCUUUUGUCAGGGAAGAAACGGUGAAAGCUAAUAUCUUUUGCUAAUGACGGUACCUGAAGAAUAAGCACCGGCUAACUACGUGCCAGCAGCCGCGGUAAUACGUAGGGUGCAAGCGUUAAUCGGAAUUACUGGGCGUAAAGCGUGCGCAGGCGGUUUUGUAAGUCUGAUGUGAAAUCCCCGGGCUCAACCUGGGAAUUGCAUUGGAGACUGCAAGGCUAGAAUCUGGCAGAGGGGGGUAGAAUUCCACGUGUAGCAGUGAAAUGCGUAGAUAUGUGGAGGAACACCGAUGGCGAAGGCAGCCCCCUGGGUCAAGAUUGACGCUCAUGCACGAAAGCGUGGGGAGCAAACAGGAUUAGAAACCCUAGUAGUCCCAUGA